RNAcentral lists this ribosomal RNA (457 nucleotides) under uncultured bacterium. RNAcentral describes it as "partial 16S ribosomal RNA". It matches the Rfam family "Bacterial small subunit ribosomal RNA", at positions 338 to 795 of the family's 1533-position model. The record is from RNAcentral.
CCUACGGGUGGCAGCAGUGGGGAAUAUUGCACAAUGGGGGAAACCCUGAUGCAGCGACGCCGCGUGAGUGAAGAAGUAUUUCGGGAUGUAAAGCUCUAUCAGCAGGGAAGAAAGAAAGUCCAUCGGACUGUGGACGGGACCUGACUAAGAAGCCCCGGCGAACUACGUGCCAGCAGCCGCGGUAAUACGUAGGGGGCAAGCGUCAUCCGGCUGUACUGGGGGGAACGGGAGCGUAGACGGCAGCGCAAGGCUGGAGUGAAAGCCCAUGGCUUAACCAGGGAACUGCUUUGGAAACUGUGCAGCUGGAUUGCAGGAGAGGUAAGCGGAAUUCCUAGUGUAGCGGUUAAAUGCGUAGAUAUUAGGCGGAACACCAGUGGCGAAGGCGGCUUACUGGACUGUAACUGACGUUGAGGCUCGAAAGCGUGGGGAGCAAACAGGAUUAGAUACCCCUGUAGUC